This 253-nucleotide ribosomal RNA is filed under the name uncultured bacterium. RNAcentral describes it as "partial 16S ribosomal RNA". It matches the Rfam family "Bacterial small subunit ribosomal RNA", at positions 524 to 776 of the family's 1533-position model. The record is from RNAcentral.
UACGAAGGGGGCUAGCGUUGCUCGGAAUUACUGGGCGUAAAGGGCGCGUAGGCGGACAGUUUAGUCAGAGGUGAAAGCCCAGGGCUCAACCUUGGAAUUGCCUUUGAUACUGGCUGUCUUGAGUUCGGGAGAGGUGAGUGGAAUGCCGAGUGUAGAGGUGAAAUUCGUAGAUAUUCGGCGGAACACCAGUGGCGAAGGCGACUCACUGGCCCGAUACUGACGCUGAGGUGCGAAAGCGUGGGGAGCAAACAGG